CGAACGCUGGCGGCGUGCUUAACGCAUGCAAGUCGACCGGAAAGGCCCUGCUUUUGUGGGGUGCUCGAGUGGCGAACGGGUGAGUAACACGUGAGUAACCUGCCCUUGACUUUGGGAUAACUUCAGGAAACUGGGGCUAAUACCGGAUAGGAGCUCCUGCUGCAUGGUGGGGGUUGGAAAGUUUCGGCGGUUGGGGAUGGACUCGCGGCUUAUCAGCUUGUUGGUGGGGUAGUGGCUUACCAAGGCUUUGACGGGUAGCCGGCCUGAGAGGGUGACCGGCCACAUUGGGACUGAGAUACGGCCCAGACUCCUACGGGAGGCAGCAGUGGGGAAUAUUGCACAAUGGGCGGAAGCCUGAUGCAGCAACGCCGCGUGCGGGAUGACGGCCUUCGGGUUGUAAACCGCUUUCGCCUGUGACGAAGCGUGAGUGACGGUAAUGGGUAAAGAAGCACCGGCUAACUACGUG
Molecule: ribosomal RNA, 466 nt
Filed under: uncultured bacterium
Lineage: Bacteria
Description: partial 16S ribosomal RNA
Rfam family: Bacterial small subunit ribosomal RNA
Source: RNAcentral